GCGCGGGUGCAGGCGUGAACCGCCUACGUGGCNGCGGUAGGCUAGCUUUUCCCAGAGAAGAAACCUGACNGUAUCUGGGGAAUAAGCAUCGGCUAACUCCGUGCCAGCAGCCGCGGUAAUACGGGGGAUGCAAGCGUUAUCCGGAAUUAUUGGGCGUAAAGAGUUCGUAGGUUGUUGUCAAAGCCUAUUGUUAAAUCUCAAGGCUUCACCUUGAAUCAGCAGUAGGGACCUGGCAACUAGAGUGCGGUAGAGGUAGGGGGAAUUCCCGGUGUANCGGUGAAAUGCGUAGAUAUCGGGAAGAACACCGGAGGCGAAAGCGCCCUACUGGGCCGACACUGACACUGAGGAACGAAAGCUAGGGUAGCNAAUGGGAUUAGAUACCCCAGUAGUCACG
Molecule: ribosomal RNA, 394 nt
Filed under: uncultured cyanobacterium
Lineage: Bacteria; Bacillati; Cyanobacteriota
Description: bacterial SSU rRNA
Rfam family: Bacterial small subunit ribosomal RNA
Source: RNAcentral